GAUGAACGCUGGCGGCGUGCCUAAUACAUGCAAGUCGAGCGAACAGACGAGGAGCUUGCUCCUCUGACGUUAGCGGCGGACGGGUGAGUAACACGUGUAUACCCUCCCUAUCAGACUGGGAUCACUUCGGGAAACCGGCGCUAAUACCGGAUAAUAUAUUGAACCGCGUGGUUCAAUAGUGAAAGACGGUUUUGCUGUCACUUAUAGAUGGAUCCGCGCCGCAUUAGCUAGUUGGUAAGGUAACGGCUUACCAAGGCGACGAUGCGUGGCCGACCUGAGAGGGGGAUCGGCCACACUGGAGCGGAGACACGGUCCAGACGCCUACGGGAGGCAGCAGUAGGGAAUCUUCGGCAAUGGGCGAAAGCCUGACGGAGUAACGCCGCGUGAGUGAUGAAGGUCUUCGGAUCGUAAAACUCUGUUAUUAGGGAAGAACAAAUGUGGAAGGAACUAUGCACGGCGUGACGGUACCUAAUCAGAAAGCCACGGCUAACUACGUG
RNAcentral lists this ribosomal RNA (497 nucleotides) under uncultured bacterium. RNAcentral describes it as "partial 16S ribosomal RNA". It matches the Rfam family "Bacterial small subunit ribosomal RNA", at positions 28 to 507 of the family's 1533-position model. The record is from RNAcentral.